AGACAAGAGGAAAAGUAACUGGUGAGUUUUGGAUUUAGAAAAGUUUUGGAUUCAUCUGUUUAUGAGGAGGAAAAGAGGCCAAGAAAAGGCAGCAAUUUGUCCAUGUGCUUAAUUAGUGAGUGGCAGUGGCAGUAACCUGGUCUGCUGAGCUCCCUGGACUCCCUGAUCCCAGCUCAAAAUAGUUUCCAGUUUUCAUCUGCCAGUUGCUUCGGAGGCUUUUCUAAGGAAGACAGUUCAUAAAAUGACCCAGAAUUCAUCCUCCUUAGGUGAUAGGAUCAUUACUCCUUAUACACCCCCUAGGUCUCAGCCUAUGAACAAACACUUGUUUGUUUCUCUGUCUACCCUGUUCCAAACCACCGAACUGGAUUUUGCCAACAAGAAGAGCUGUUUCCUGUGCCUGCCCCUGAGAGCUGAUGGCUUCCCAGAGAUGCCUCACAGUCCUGCGCAGACAGAGAGAAUGCAGAAGCUGGCAAAGGAUCCUCCACACGCAAGAUCAGAGGACGUCCCAGAUCAUCUUUUCUUUGUGGAUACUGCAGGUCUACGUGAAAUAGUGUGUUUUUGCGGGGUGCUGUCCCUUAGGACAAGUGAAGGGCUGAUGAGAAAGGAAACUGCGUGAGCCAGGUGUACAGUAAGGAGCAGACAACAUGGCACUGGCCAAGUGGAAAGGCUGUUUGCAUAAUAAGAUUACGAUGGGGUGGCCUGCCUUCCCUGUGUGCUACGUAAACAUCACACCUGAUCCAACCAAUCUGCAGGCCCUACAUAAAUCAGACACCGCCUCCUCCAGCCUGCCUAUAAAAUCUGGUACACUCCACGUGGGCCAGAAGUCCCAUUUGGAUGCCCCUCUCUUUCGCAAGAGAGAGAGCUGUUCUCCUUUCUCUUUCUUUUGCCUAUUACAUUCCGCUCCUAAAGUCACUUCUCAUGUAUGUCCACGUCCUUAAUCUUCUUGAUGCAAGACAAUGAACCCGGGUAUUUACCCCAGACAACAACACCACUUCACUAGGAGUUAAAAGAACUUGAAAUGCAAAUUCAUGGUCAUCUGGUUCCAAAGCCCAUAUUAACAAAAUUUUUUUAAUUGUGAUAAAAUACACAUAACAUAAAGUUGACCGUGUUAACUGUUUUUAAAUGUACAGUCCAGUAGUGUUAAGUACAUUCACAUUGUUGGGCAAUCCUUCUUCAGAACUUUUUAAGUUUCCCAAACUGAAGCUCUGCGUCUAUUAAGAACAACUCUUUCUUCCAAUCCCCAGCUGUUGGCAACUAUCAUUCUACUUUCUGUCUUUAUGCAUUUAAUAAUUCUACGUACCUCAUAUAAAUGAAAUCAAAUGGUAUUUGUAACUGGCUUAUUUCACUUAGCAUAAUAUCCUCAAGAUUCAGUCAUAUUGUUAUAUGUGUCAUAAAUUGCAUUUGUAAUAUCACAAACUACACCUUGAUAUAUUGUCUACUGAUUAGCAUGGAUUUAUAAUUAUUUUUAUGCUUUGCCUUCUACAUUCUAUAAAAGAAUAAAAAGUUGAGUUAAAAACCAAAAUUAUAAUAAUGAAA
Molecule: long non-coding RNA, 1536 nt
Organism: Homo sapiens (human)
Lineage: Eukaryota; Metazoa; Chordata; Mammalia; Primates; Hominidae
Product: long intergenic non-protein coding RNA 2817
Source: Ensembl